CACUCUCUUAUAAUAGUUAUGUUCUUUAAACUUAAAAAAUUUGGCGGUGUUUUAGUCUAUUCAGAGGAAUUUGUUUUUUAAUCGAUAAUCCACGAUGGACCUUACUUAAGUUUGUUAUCAGUUUAUAUACCGUCGUUAUUAGAAUAUUUUAUAAGGAAGUUAAUUUUCAAGAUUUUUUUUAGAAAAUAUAUCAGAUCAAGGUGUAGCUUAUAUUUAAGUAAAAAUGAAUUACAAUAAAUUUAUUUAUACGAAUAUAAAUUUGAAAUGUUUAUUGAAGGUGGAUUUGAUAGUAAAAUUAUAAAGAUUAAUAAUUUGAUUAUAGCUCUAAAAUAUGC
Molecule: ribosomal RNA, 335 nt
Filed under: Peleteria varia
Lineage: Eukaryota; Metazoa; Arthropoda; Insecta; Diptera; Tachinidae
Description: partial 12S ribosomal RNA
Source: RNAcentral